Molecule: ribosomal RNA, 922 nt
Filed under: uncultured bacterium
Lineage: Bacteria
Description: bacterial SSU rRNA
Rfam family: Bacterial small subunit ribosomal RNA
Source: RNAcentral
CAGAACGUACGCUGGCGGCACGCCUAACACAUGCAAGUCGAACGAAGUAGCAAUACUUAGUGGCAGACGGGUGAGUAACAUGUGGGUAUCUACCCUUUGGCCUGGAAUAACACGAGGAAACUUGUGCUAAUACCGGAUAAGUCUUUACGGAGAAAGCUUUAUGCACCAUUGGAUGAGCCCGCACUUGAUUAGUUUGUUGGUAGGGUAAUGGCCUACCAAGACUAUGAUCAAUAGCUGAUUUGAGAGGAUGAUCAGCCACAUUGGGACUGAGACACGGCCCAAACUCCUACGGGAGGCAGCAGUGGGGAAUCUUGCACAAUGGAGGAAACUCUGAUGCAGCGAUGCCGCGUGAGUGAAGAAGGCCUUUGGGUUGUAAAGCUCUUUCGUCGGGGAAGAAAAUGACUGUACCCGAAUAAGAAGGUCCGGCUAACUUCGUGCCAGCAGCCGCGGUAAUACGAAGGGACCUAGCGUAGUUCGGAAUUACUGGGCUUAAAGAGUUCGUAGGUGGUUGAAAAAGUUAGUGGUGAAAUCCCAGAGCUUAACUCUGGAACUGCCAUUAAAACUUUUCAGCUAGAGUAUGAUAGAGGAAAGCAGAAUUUCUAGUGUAGAGGUGAAAUUCGUAGAUAUUAGAAAGAAUACCAAUUGCGAAGGCAGCUUUCUGGAUCAUUACUGACACUGAGGAACGAAAGCAUGGGUAGCGAAGAGGAUUAGAUACCCUCGUAGUCCAUGCCGUAAACGAUGUGUGUUAGACGUUGGAAAUUUAUUUUCAGUGUCGCAGGAAAACCGAUAAACACACCGCCUGGGGAGUACGACCGCAAGGUUAAAACUCAAAUGAAUUGACGGGGACCCGCACAAGUAGUGGAGCAUGUGGGUUUAAUUCGAAGAUACGCGCAGAACCUUACCAACACUUGACAUGUUCGUC